CGGAGAGGGCGCAUGAGAAACGGCUACCACAUCCAAGGAAGGCAGCUGGCGCGCAAAUUACCCAAUCCCGACACGGGGAGGUAGUGACAAUAUGUAACAAUAUACGGCUUUAUUGUCGUAUAAUUGGAAUGAGUACAAUUUAAAUCCCUUAACGAGGAACAAUUGGAGGGCAAGUCUGGUGCCAGCAGCCGCGGUAAUUCCAGCUCCAAUAGCGUAUAUUAAAGUUGUUGCAGUUAAAAAGCUCGUAGUUGGACCUUGGGCCUGGACAGGCGGUCCGCCUCACGGCGUGUACUGUCUUGCUGGGCCUUUCCUCUUGGUGAUCUGUGGUUUCGGCCGCAGGGAACCAGGACCUUUACUUUGAAAAAAUUAGAGUGUUCAAAGCAGGCUUUACGCCAGAAUAUAUUAGCAUGGAAUAAUAAAAUAGGACGUGCGGUUCUAUUUUGUUGGUUUUUGGGAUCGCCGUAAUGAUUAAUAGGGACAGUCGGGGGCAUUAGUACUCACAUGCUAGAGGUGAAAUUCUUGGAUUUUGUGAAGACUAACUUCUGCGAAAGCAUUUGCCAAGGAUGUUUUCAUUAAUCAAGAACGAAGGUUAGGGUAUCGAAAACGAUUAGAUACCGUUGUAGUCUUAACAGUAAACUAUGCCGACUAGGGAUCGGUCGAUGUUAUUUUCUUGACUCGAUCGGCACCUUACGAGAAAUCAAAGUUUUUGG
RNAcentral lists this ribosomal RNA (710 nucleotides) under uncultured organism. Its description in RNAcentral is "SSU rRNA". It matches the Rfam family "Eukaryotic small subunit ribosomal RNA", at positions 384 to 1110 of the family's 1831-position model. The record is from RNAcentral.